This 433-nucleotide ribosomal RNA is filed under the name uncultured bacterium. Its description in RNAcentral is "partial 16S ribosomal RNA". It matches the Rfam family "Bacterial small subunit ribosomal RNA", at positions 29 to 507 of the family's 1533-position model. The record is from RNAcentral.
AGCGAACGCUGGCGGCAGGCCUAACACAUGCAAGUCGAACGAACUCUUCGGAGUUAGUGGCGGACGGGUGAGUAACACGUGGGAACGUGCCUUUUGGUUCGGAAUAACUCAGGGAAACUUGUGCUAAUACCGAAUGUGCCCUUCGGGGGAAAGAUUUAUCGCCAUUAGAGCGGCCCGCGUCUGAUUAGCUAGUUGGUGAGGUAACGGCUCACCAAGGCGACGAUCAGUAGCUGGUCUGAGAGGAUGACCAGCCACACUGGGACUGAGACACGGCCCAGACUCCUACGGGAAGCAGCAGUGGGGAAUCUUGCGCAAUGGGCGAAAGCCUGACGCAUCCAUGCCGCGUGAAUGAUGAAGGUCUUAGGAUUGUAAAAUUCUUUCACCGGGGACGAUAAUGACGGUACCCGGAGAAGAAGCCCCGGCUAACUUCGUG